Molecule: ribosomal RNA, 706 nt
Filed under: uncultured bacterium
Lineage: Bacteria
Description: partial 16S ribosomal RNA
Source: RNAcentral
AGUUUCCCGCGACAUGCUGAUUCCCGAUUACUAGCAACUCCGGCUUCAUGCAGGCGAGUUUCAGCCUGCAAUCCGAACUGGGAUGAGUUUUAUGAGAUUUGCUCCACCUCGCGGUCUCGCGUCUCUUUGUUCUCACCAUUGUAGCACGUGUGUAGCCCUAGACAUAAGGGGCAUGAUGAUUUGACGUCAUCCCCACCUUCCUCCCGGUUAACCCGGGCAGUCUCUUUAGAGUGCUCAACUGAAUGGUAGCAACUAAAAAUAAGGGUUGCGCUCGUUGCGGGACUUAACCCAACAUCUCACGACACGAGCUGACGACAACCAUGCACCACCUGUCUUCCUGCCCCGAAGGGCUUCCCCGGUUAAGGGUAAUUCAGGAGAUGUCAAGUCUAGGUAAGGUUCUUCGCGUUGCUUCGAAUUAAACCACAUGCUCCGCUGCUUGUGCGGGCCCCCGUCAAUUCCUUUGAGUUUUAGUCUUGCGACCGUACUCCCCAGGCGGGGUACUUAUUGUGUUAACGACGGCACAGAAGGGGUCGAUACCUCCUACACCUAGUACCCAUCGUUUACGGCGUGGACUACCAGGGUAUCUAAUCCUGUUUGCUACCCACGCUUUCAUGCCUCAGUGUCAGUUACAGUCCAGAAAGCCGCCUUCGCCACUGGGGGUUCCUCCUAAUAUCUACGCAUUUCACCGCUACACUAGGAAUUCCGC